RNAcentral lists this long non-coding RNA (1090 nucleotides) under Equus caballus (horse). Its description in RNAcentral is "lncRNA (ENSECAG00000052815.1)". The record is from RNAcentral. Lineage: Eukaryota; Metazoa; Chordata; Mammalia; Perissodactyla; Equidae.
GUGAGGUACUAAUGAGCCAGAAAAUAUGUUGGUUCCACAGAUUCUCCCCUUUGGUUUCAGGAAGCCUUAGAUUUGUGCUUUUAGGGGUAUAUUAGACAGAGAUCUUCAAAGAAACAGAAGCAAUAGGAUGUGCGUGGUAUGUGUCUGUGUGUAUGUAUGUCUGUGUGUAUGUAUGUGCGUAUAUGUAUAUGUGUGCGUAUAUAUAGAGAGAGACAGACAGACAGACCAAAAGAGAGAGGAAGAUUUCUUUUAAGGAAUUGGCUCAUGUAAUUGUAGAGCCUGGCAGGUCCAAAACCUGCAGUGUAGGCUGACAAGCUGGAGACUCAAGGAAGAGUUGAUGUUGCUGCCCAAGGCUGAAAGCAGUGUGAGGGCAGAAUUCCUCCUUCCUCUGGGGGCCACAGUCUUUUUCUCUUAGGGCCUUCCACUGAUUGGAUGAGGUCCACACAAGAUCCUGUACUCCUGAACGUCUUCCCUGGAAAACUUCUUCCUGGGAUGUGGGCCCCCAGGCAACACCAUCGAGUUGAAGGGUUCUAUAACCGAAGGGACUUCUGGACCAGUGAGCUCAGCUCUUUGCCUAAGAGGGAGAAAAGGGAGCUCCACAGUCAUAGCUGGUCCACCAUGGUGCUGGUGCGCUGUCUUGGCCUCCUUCUCACAUGCCAGUGCUCUUCCUAUCCUGACCUCCAUAGAGGGACCUUUUCUCCUUGGAACUACCUGAGGUUCAGGUAGGUCCCCCCAGCUGAGCAGAAUACUAAAUAAGGCCGCAAAGAUGAGGAUGAAAGCCUGCAGGUUCAGGAUGGUGGGAAAGAUGGCAUUGGAACAAACGGUAACAUCUAGCAAGCAGUUUGCAUCGACUCUGCACGACAACCAAAAUAUGCUGUGUUGUCCAAAUGAAAAUUCUCCAAAAUAAUGACAUCAAGAUCAAACCAAGAUAAAGAGCUGGCAUCAUUAUACUUGACAGGCAUAUACAGUACUUAUGCUGAAAUUGAAAUGAUCAAAACUAACCUCAUGGAAAAAUGUAAGCACCCAAAGGUUGUAAGAAAAGUCAUACAAAUCAAAUUUAUAAAGCAAAUAAAUCAAAUUUAUAAAGCAA